Molecule: ribosomal RNA, 465 nt
Filed under: uncultured bacterium
Lineage: Bacteria
Description: partial 16S ribosomal RNA
Rfam family: Bacterial small subunit ribosomal RNA
Source: RNAcentral
CCUACGGGUGGCAGCAGUGGGGAAUAUUGCGCAAUGGGCGAAAGCCUGACGCAGCGACGCCGCGUGAGGGAUGAAGGUCUUCGGAUCGUAAACCUCUGUCAGCAGGGAAGAACGGUCACUGUGCUAAUCAGCAGUGAAUUGACGGUACCUGCAAAGGCAGCACCGGCUAACUCCGUGCCAGCAGCCGCGGUAAUACGGAGGGUGCGAGCGUUAAUCGGAAUUACUGGGCGUAAAGCGCUCGUAGGCGGUAUGUCAAGUACAGGGUGAAAUCCCCGCGCUCAACGUGGGAACUGCCUUUGAAACUGGCAAACUGGAGUGUGUGAGAGGAUAGUGGAAUUCCAGGUGGAGGAGUGAAAGCCGUAGAUAUCUGGAGGAACAUCAGUGGCGAAGGCGACUAUCUGGCACAUAACUGACGCUGAGGAGCGAAAGCGUGGGUAGCAAACAGGAUUAGAUACCCCGGUAGUC